RNAcentral lists this long non-coding RNA (394 nucleotides) under Citrus x clementina. RNAcentral's name for it is "Citrus clementina (C. clementina) long non-coding RNA (CCLE_LNC001394)". Lineage: Eukaryota; Viridiplantae; Streptophyta; Magnoliopsida; Sapindales; Rutaceae. The record is from RNAcentral.
CCGAAUUGCAAUACGUUUUUUAUAGGUCAUAAAAAUUAAUAACCAAUAAUGAAAGUAUCUUUAUUUAUUCAAUAUCAAUAUUCAUUACUUCAGUAUGAUCAUAAAUUUGAUUACCCCUUGUACAAACAAAAUAAGUUAAUCAUUUUUCACGACUUAAACAAAAAUUAUCUUAUUAGCUAAAAUUAUUUUUAAAAGCUGAGUAUAUUUGGAUGGAUAUUCCAACUAAUAUGGUGUUACAACAUAACACUAUGGUAUAAGAAACAACAUUCACUGAUACGAAUUUGAUCUGCACUUAAUAAUGGAGUUUCACAUUAAUAAAGAAUUGCUCAAUUGGAGGAUGAAUUAAACAAAAAUUAAGUUCAUUUACAACCGAAUUAUAUGGUAGCCAAUUCUU